AAACCGAGUCUUAAUUGGGCGUUAAGUUGCAGGGUAUAGACCCGAAACCCGGUGAUCUAGCCAUGGGCAGGUUGAAGGUUGGGUAACACUAACUGGAGGACCGAACCGACUAAUGUUGAAAAAUUAGCGGAUGACCUGUGGCUGGGGGUGAAAGGCCAAUCAAACCGGGAGAUAGCUGGUUCUCCCCGAAAGCUAUUUAGGUAGCGCCUCGUGAAUUCAUCUCCGGGGGUAGAGCACUGUUUCGGCUAGGGGGCCAUCCCGGCUUACCAACCCGAUGCAAACUGCGAAUACCGGAGAAUGUUAUCACGGGAGACACACGGCGGGUGCUAACGUCCGUCGUGAAGAGGGAAACAACCCAGACCGCCAGCUAAGGUCCCAAAGUCAUGGUUAAGUGGGAAACGAUGUGGGAAGGCCCAGACAGCCAGGAUGUUGGCUUAGAAGCAGCCAUCAUUUAAAGAAAGCGUAAUAGCUCACUGGUCGAGUCGGCCUGCGCGGAAGAUGUAACGGGGCUAAACCAUGCACCGAAGCUGCGGCAGCGAACGUAUCACCCAAGACAACUUUACGGAGUUGACGAUUGACGGAGCGAAGCGACGUCAAAGCGUUCAUUAAAGUCGAGUUGGCUUAGGGAUACGUUCGUUGGGUAGGGGAGCGUUCUGUAAGCCUGUGAAGGUGUGUCGUGAGGCAUGCUGGAGGUAUCAGAAGUGCGAAUGCUGACAUAAGUAACGAUAAAGCGGGUGAAAAGCCCGCUCGCCGGAAGACCAAGGGUUCCUGUCCAACGUUAAUCGGGGCAGGGUGAGUCGACCCCUAAGGCGAGGCCGAAAGGCGUAGUCGAUGGGAAACGGGUUAAUAUUCCCGUACUUGGUGUUACUGCGAAGGGGGGACGGAGAAGGCUAUGUUGGCCGGGCGACGGUUGUCCCGGUUUAAGCGUGUAGGUGUGUG
RNAcentral lists this ribosomal RNA (939 nucleotides) under Salmonella enterica subsp. enterica serovar Typhimurium. RNAcentral describes it as "partial 23S ribosomal RNA". It matches the Rfam family "Bacterial large subunit ribosomal RNA", at positions 674 to 1530 of the family's 2925-position model. Lineage: Bacteria; Pseudomonadati; Pseudomonadota; Gammaproteobacteria; Enterobacterales; Enterobacteriaceae. The record is from RNAcentral.